UACGUAGGAGGCAAGCGUUGUCCGGAUUUACUGGGCGUAAAGCGCGCGCAGGUGGCAGCACAAGUACGGAGUGAAAUCUCCCUGCUCAACGGGGAGGGUGCUCUGUAGACUGUGCAGCUAGAGGACGGUAGAGGGGGGUAGAAUUGCUGGUGUAGCGGUGAAAUGCGUAGAGAUCAGCAGGAAUACCCGUGGCGAAGGCGGCCCCCUGGGCCGUACCUGACGCUGAGGCGCGAAGGCUAGGGGAGCGAACGGG
Molecule: ribosomal RNA, 253 nt
Filed under: uncultured bacterium
Lineage: Bacteria
Description: partial 16S ribosomal RNA
Rfam family: Bacterial small subunit ribosomal RNA
Source: RNAcentral